This 176-nucleotide unclassified non-coding RNA is filed under the name uncultured Sordariomycetes. RNAcentral's name for it is "sequence contains ITS1". The record is from RNAcentral. Lineage: Eukaryota; Fungi; Ascomycota; Sordariomycetes.
CAGAGUUUCCAAAACUCCCUGUAAAACCUUGUGAACCUACCUGUACGUCGUUGCUUCGGCGGGUAGCCCCGUGUAGGGGCCUCCGCCUCACACUCAGUGAGGUGCCCGCCGGAGGACCACAACCUUAAACUCUUGUUAUUUCAAUGGAAUCUCUGAGUAAUAUACAAAAUAAGUUA